RNAcentral lists this transfer RNA (52 nucleotides) under Rhinella cf. acrolopha 'sensu Grant & Bolivar 2014'. RNAcentral describes it as "partial tRNA-His". Lineage: Eukaryota; Metazoa; Chordata; Amphibia; Anura; Bufonidae. The record is from RNAcentral.
AAAAAUUCUAGCUCAUAAUUCUAGAGAAAGGGAUUAACCCCCCUUAUUCACC